Mus musculus (house mouse) is the source of this 476-nucleotide long non-coding RNA. RefSeq annotates it as predicted gene, 31219. Lineage: Eukaryota; Metazoa; Chordata; Mammalia; Rodentia; Muridae. The record is from RefSeq and is a predicted model, not a curated record. The transcript is spliced from 3 exons.
CUCCAACUCCUUGUAUGUGUUUGAUGUUUAGAUCCUGCACUGCAAAGUUAGUUCCUGUGGUCACCUGGUCUCGGAUUCUUAUUUGGUCUUCUAGGAGCUGUAAUUUUGAGCCUUACUCCAACCAUCUUCACCCCUCUGCAUUCCUGCCUGACAAAUUUCAUCCUUGCCCAGGUGUCUACCUGCCCAUAUCCUGGUCUGCUAACCUGGAGGCAAAAAUUGUUCUGCCUGGCUUACCAGCAAUCUGUGCCUCUUCCUUAUCAGAAUCAAAGAUGAUUCCAGGACAGCCAGAGCUACACAGAAAAACCCUGUCUCAAAGAACCAGAAGUGAAAAAGGAAGAGUACCUACUGAAUGAAGGUGGAUAGAAGAGAAUGGUGGUCCUUCUUCUGGAAUGAUACAGUCAAAGUACAUCAUACACCUGCAAGAAAUGUCCUUGUGAAACUCAUCACUACAUACAAUAAAUACACGCUAAUUAAAA